Molecule: ribosomal RNA, 253 nt
Filed under: uncultured bacterium
Lineage: Bacteria
Description: partial 16S ribosomal RNA
Rfam family: Bacterial small subunit ribosomal RNA
Source: RNAcentral
UACGAAGGGGGCUAGCGUUGCUCGGAAUUACUGGGCGUAAAGCGCACGUAGGCGGUUUUGUAAGUUAGAGGUGAAAGCCUGGGGCUCAACUCCAGAAUAGCCUUUAAGACUGCAUCACUUGAACACGGGAGAGGUGAGUGGAAUUCCGAGUGUAGAGGUGAAAUUCGUAGAUAUUCGGAAGAACACCAGUGGCGAAGGCGGCUCACUGGACCGUUGUUGACGCUGAGGUGCGAAAGCGUGGGGAGCAAACAGG